RNAcentral lists this ribosomal RNA (467 nucleotides) under uncultured bacterium. RNAcentral describes it as "partial 16S ribosomal RNA". It matches the Rfam family "Bacterial small subunit ribosomal RNA", at positions 28 to 507 of the family's 1533-position model. The record is from RNAcentral.
GACGAACGCUGGCGGCGUGCUUAACACAUGCAAGUCGAACGGAAAGGCCUCUUUCGGGGGGUACUCGAGUGGCGAACGGGUGAGUAACACGUUUGUAACCUGCCCUUGACUUUGGGAUAACUUCAGAAAACUGGGGCUAAUACUGGAUAGGAGCUCCUUCUGCAUGGUGUGGGUUGGCGAGUUUCGGAGGUUGGGGAUGGAGUCGCGGCUUAUCAGCUUGUUGGUGGGGUAGUGGCUUACCAAGGCUUUGACGGGUAGCCGGCGUGGGAGGGUGACCGGCCACCCUGGGACUGGGAUAGGGCCCAGGUCCCUACGGGAGGGAGAAGUGGGGAAUAGUGCAAUAUGGGUAGAAGCCUGAUGCAGCACCACCGUGUGCGGGAUGGCGGCGUUGGGGUUGUAGAUCGAUUUCGCUCAUGACGAAGAAUUGUGUGACGGUAGUGGGUAAAGAAGCACCGGCUAACUACGUG